UACGAAGGGGGCUAGCGUUGCUCGGAAUCACUGGGCGUAAAGGGCGCGUAGGCGGCGUUUUAAGUCGGGGGUGAAAGCCUGUGGCUCAACCACAGAAUGGCCUUCGAUACUGGGACGCUUGAGUAUGGUAGAGGUUGGUGGAACUGCGAGUGUAGAGGUGAAAUUCGUAGAUAUUCGCAAGAACACCGGUGGCGAAGGCGGUGAGCUGGGCAGUUGCUGACACUGAGGCGCGACAGCGUGGGGAGCAAACAGG
RNAcentral lists this ribosomal RNA (253 nucleotides) under uncultured bacterium. RNAcentral's name for it is "partial 16S ribosomal RNA". It matches the Rfam family "Bacterial small subunit ribosomal RNA", at positions 524 to 776 of the family's 1533-position model. The record is from RNAcentral.